Long non-coding RNA from Colletes gigas, 830 nucleotides. RefSeq lists it as uncharacterized. Lineage: Eukaryota; Metazoa; Arthropoda; Insecta; Hymenoptera; Colletidae. The transcript has 3 exons. The record is from RefSeq and is a predicted model, not a curated record.
AGGAAUCCCUAAAACGAAACGCGACCUUUCGAUGCAAAAUGGUUCCCCACCCCUGGCCUAGGUCAGGACACAGAGCGUCCAUCGGUUGUACGUGUGUGCAUACCGAUCUUUCUUUUUCUGCCGCGCGCAAAAAGAACAGAAGGUCGCUUUUUGUGUGCCAUGGCGUGACGCCGUUGGACCUGCGGAACAUUUCUACGUAACAACGUGUAACUGUACCAGGUGGUGAAGAAGUUUAACUGCCGAAAUGCUCUUACAGAAAGCCACGCCGGGAGUCCAUUUUAAAUAAUGCCUAACGCAAACCUAAUCGUAACCCUCAACGAGAGAAUGUUGCUGUUGUGUUAUUGAAAAGGGAUCCGCUGUGUGAAGAUAAGGCUCUCAAGAUUUUCAACGAUGAACCAACGGUAUACAAGCACCCACAAACACGCCACACAAUUUUUAACUCGAGAAACGUCCAUCAGCCUUUUUACUGGGCAUCGAACUUCCCAAAACACUUUACCUAGAUUUUCGAUGGAAUACUGGCCACACAAAACUCGAAUUUAUCAAGAGACGUCGAUCACCCUAAAUAUUUUGACGCGUGAUUUUCAAGAUUUUCCUUCCACCGCUGUUCAACGACCAAUUUAAUUCUCGUAUGCUUACGUAUAAGCAUACACCACGACGGGCACAACGUAUCGCGAAACUUUGAAUUAUUCAAAUCCGUUUACCAGUUAGGAGACUUCGAGUGUGUCAAAAGCAGCGAUACCGACGAUGGGAAAUGCGUGUUGGCAGACAAUGUAAAUCUUGUAUACAUCGACGAUAAGCCAACGAUAUAAUCGGAGGAAAAAAAAAAAGUG